CUCUCUGUUUAUAUAUACUAGUGUAGAAACCCACGCGUUGCGGUGGGUAGAGAGCAUUGCAAAUAGUCAAGAUAUUUUCAUACCUAAAAUUAAGGUAGCUGAAGAGAAGUAGGAGAAAAUAGAAAUAGCAACAAAACAAUCUUCUAAAAUUUCAAAGGAAAAUAACAUAUUGUACAUCAAGAAACUGUGAGACCCCAGAUAGUUCUAUAUAUGAGAUAUAAUAGGGCUAAACUCUUAACCCGGCUUAAGCAUUUUGGGUGGUGGCAAGGCCCAAGAGGUUAAGAGAGUUAAGCGUGCUAGGACGGGAGUAGUCCUAGGAUGGGUUACCCCUGGGAAGUCGG
This 341-nucleotide long non-coding RNA is filed under the name Ananas comosus (pineapple). RNAcentral's name for it is "long non-coding RNA (ACOM_LNC010698)". The record is from RNAcentral. Lineage: Eukaryota; Viridiplantae; Streptophyta; Magnoliopsida; Poales; Bromeliaceae.